GACGAACGCUGGCGGCGUGCUUAACACAUGCAAGUCGAGCGGUAAGGCCCUUUCGGGGGUACACGAGCGGCGAACGGGUGAGUAACACGUGGGUGACCUGCCCUCAGCUCUGGGAUAAGCCUGGGAAACCGGGUCUAAUACUGGAUAUGACUCCAUGACGCAUGUUGUGGGGUGGAAAGCCUUGCGCGGCUGAGGAUGGGCCCGCGGCCUAUCAGCUUGUUGGUGGGGUGANGGCCUACCAAGGCGACGACGGGUAGCCGGCCUGAGAGGGCGACCGGCCACACUGGGACUGAGACACGGCCCAGACUCCUACGGGAGGCAGCAGUGGGGAAUCUUGCGCAAUGGGCGAAAGCCUGACGCAGCGGCGCCGCGUGAGGGAUGACGGCC
Molecule: ribosomal RNA, 387 nt
Filed under: uncultured bacterium
Lineage: Bacteria
Description: bacterial SSU rRNA
Rfam family: Bacterial small subunit ribosomal RNA
Source: RNAcentral